Molecule: ribosomal RNA, 253 nt
Filed under: uncultured Pseudolabrys sp.
Lineage: Bacteria; Pseudomonadati; Pseudomonadota; Alphaproteobacteria; Hyphomicrobiales; Xanthobacteraceae
Description: partial 16S ribosomal RNA
Rfam family: Bacterial small subunit ribosomal RNA
Source: RNAcentral
UACGAAGGGGGCUAGCGUUGCUCGGAAUUACUGGGCGUAAAGCGCACGUAGGCGGACCGAUAAGUCGGGGGUGAAAUCCUGGAGCUCAACUCCAGAACUGCCUCCGAAACUGCCGGUCUUGAGUUCGGGAGAGGUGAGUGGAACUGCGAGUGUAGAGGUGAAAUUCGUAGAUAUUCGCAAGAACACCAGUGGCGAAGGCGGCUCACUGGCCCGAUACUGACGCUGAGGUGCGAAAGCGUGGGGAGCAAACAGG